UAUCCCCUUCAAGGAACUCCCGUCGCCCACGAUCAGUCGCUCAAUGAUCACGUGAGAAAAUUGCCACGAACGUCUACCUUUCACCAGAUAUUCACCUAACUUGAUGUUCCAAUCAACGCCGAUGAGAUGAGUACCUUCCGGAUAAAAUCUCAGAACUACGGAGAGUCCGAACGUUUAUUCUAAAGGAACUAAUCAAGAAAUUGUUGAACAUAAACGGAAGCUUUCAACGGGAUUUUCUGAGUCAGCGGAAUUUAAAUUGUAUAUCGCAAAUGCGUCGUGUGUAAAAUCGCAAGGGGAUACUGUAUGCAGGUCCGAUUCACACCCGUCUUAACGCCGAUCUCGAGUACACGAAUGGAGCCCAUAGAUCGCAGUAUCUCGUCGUUGGAAACAAUAUAUUGUAACGUUUUGAAGAGAUGCUCUUUGUAUGGACUGAUCAGCUCGGCGCAUUCCAUCUCAAAUCCCAAAAGAUCAUUGUUGCUCAUCUCGCCGGAACGAGCGGGAUCUCGAGAUGCAAUGAUAUGAGGAGGCUUCACCGAAUCUUCUAAAGCGCCGCUUGGAGCUCGGUUAUGCUGUCCAAACAAUUUUCGGACGUCUCACCUACUGUCCCCUUCUUGUCGC
This is a long non-coding RNA of Odontomachus brunneus, 618 nucleotides long. RefSeq lists it as uncharacterized. NCBI's taxonomy places the organism in Eukaryota, Metazoa, Arthropoda, Insecta, Hymenoptera, Formicidae. The transcript is spliced from 3 exons. The record is from RefSeq and is a predicted model, not a curated record.